UGGGGAAUAUUGGGCAAUGGGCGAAAGCCUGACCCAGCAACGCCGCGUGAGGGAAGAAGGGUUUCGGCUCGUAAGCCUCUGUCCUAUGGGACGAAGGAAGUGACGGUACCAUAGGAGGAAGCCCCGGCUAACUACGUGCCAGCAGCCGCGGUAAUACAUAGGGGGCGAGCGUUGUCCGGAAUGAUUGGGCGUAAAGGGCGCGUAGGCGGCCUGCUAAGUCUGGAGUGAAAGUCCUGCUUUCAAGGUGGGAAUUGCUUUGGAUACUGGUGGGCUGGAGUGCAGGAGAGGAAAGCGGAAUUACCGGUGUAGCGGUGAAAUGCGUAGAGAUCGGUAGGAACACCAGUGGCGAAGGCGGCUUUCUGGACUGAAACUGACGCUGAGGCGCGAAAGCGUGGGGAGCAAACAGGAUUAGAUACC
RNAcentral lists this ribosomal RNA (417 nucleotides) under uncultured bacterium. RNAcentral's name for it is "bacterial SSU rRNA". It matches the Rfam family "Bacterial small subunit ribosomal RNA", at positions 355 to 786 of the family's 1533-position model. The record is from RNAcentral.